UUUGGGAACGAAAGAGACUUCAUAGUAGUUCUAGAAGAAGCCCCGUGGAACUAAUUGUGUGUGAUACGGAUACUCUGUGUGAUACGACUUAUUAAUUGUGUACACAAUAUGAAGAAAACCCUAGAACUAUAAUAAAUAUAAUUAUAAAAAUAUAUAUGUAAACAGCUAUAAAGCGCUCUAAAAGGGUACCCAUUAUCGUUAUAAAAAAAUACAAGUAAGGUAUGAUAAAUUAAUAUAGAUAUAUAUAUACAACGCGGAUGCCGGGCGGCCGUGAAUACGUCAGAAUUGCAUCGUGCUGUUCCAUUUCCGGGUCAAAAAGAGCUGGCCAGUGUUCCCAGGGAAGCAGCCGAGACAUGACCCUGGAUGUUUUUGUUGGCAUGCACGCUUCGCGCUAGGAAUACAGGCGGUUGAAUUGGUGUGGCCGCUCCUGAGGUUACGGAGCCGUGGCACACUUCGGGCUGCACACGGAGUUUGAAUGAAGGGCGAACAAAGUGCUGGUUUGGAUAGUAUGUUAUGAGCAGGAGGUGAAAUGUAAGAAGUGGAUGAGAAUGUAUUUUAGUGUGUUACGAGUGAAUCAUGAGGUGUGUAUGUGCGGGAUUUUAUUGCGUGUGCGGAGGGCGGAAGCAGCCCAAUGUGUUCAACAGAGGUAAUUAAUGUGAUAUGUGGCGGAAUGAAAUAGAAAGUCAGUUGUCAGCGGGCAUGGAAAGGAAGAAGUAUCAAAAGAAACGAGUCGAAUUUAGAAGUGGGUGAGAAAUGUGGAAAAAGGAAAAUAAGAUAGAAAGGCAGAAAUGUACGUUGUUUCACGUAACAGAUGAGUUUCGGAAGGAAGAAAGAGAGGUUGUUUUGAAAGGAAAAGAUGAAAAAAAAAUUUGAUGCUUAAAGAGCAUGGGAGGUGAUAGAUGAUUGGGAGAAGCACAUUAACGCAUACGAUGGCUUUAAACUUGUUUAUGCCUAGAAGAGGAGUAAUGAAAAAUGUGUUAACUUGUGUGUCAGAGGGAAUCAUUUUGUGUCUUUACGGAAUGGCACACAAAAAAAGUGGCAGGAUGGGUAUAAUUGUGAAUAUACAGGGAGGCUGUGAUUUUUGUAAUUGGAUAUACAUAGAAGUUCCUGUUUGGGGCAAACCGUCCAUCCAUCCAUUUUCUGAGCCGCUUCUCCUCACUAGGGUCGCGGGCGUGCUGGAGCCUAUCCCAGCUGUCAUCGGGCAGGAGGCGGGGUACACCCUGAACUGGUUGCCAGCCAAUCGCAGGGCACAUACAAACAAACACCCAUUCACACUCACAUUCACACCUACGGGCAAUUUAAAAUUGUCAAUUAAAAUGUUUUUGGGAUGUGGGAGGAAACCGGAGUGCCCGGAGAAAACCCACACAGGCACGGGGAGAACAUGCAAACUCCACACAGGCGGGGCCGGGGAUUGAACCCGGGUCCUCAGAACUGUGAGGCUGACGCUCUAACCAGUCAGCCACCAGUCGGCCAUAAUUAAGAAAAUUAUGCGAGGUACACCAGUCAACUAAAGACAUCCUUACAAUAGUUGAUACAGUCUAGUGACUAUUAAUACAGCAUAGCGAAUGCAACUCUUUUCAUUCACAGAAUUGAAGGAUAUGCCAUAGAGGGGUCAAGAUUAAGUUGCUACUUAUGGUACAUACGUCAUGAGACUGUGCCUCAUUUGCAUCAUGUACAAGGGAAAGUGUGGAGUACAUGUUUUUGAGAAUGGCUAAUAUGGUAUGAGGAUUAAUCUGUUUGAUUGUCUCCCAGAUUCAGCACAAGAGCAGGGAAGACAAAGAGGAUUUUUCCAUCUGUCGGGCAAGUUAAUUUUGAGGAGGUUUAUUUAUUUGCAUUCUAUCCCCUCAAUCAGGUUGAUUACAACAAUUUGUGGACAAGCGGAGAGCUACUUUUUGAGCUAAAGGGACAAAUUUAUCAGGGAUAGGAUUCUUAGAUUUCUAAAAAGAAGAUAACAUUGUUGCCCCAGUUAUUGGGGACUGAUUCCUUACAGCGGUUGGGAAGGCUUGGUCAAGGCAUUGAUCAUGUGAGACAUAAAGUAAUGAUACACAAAAGGGGUAAUCGGGAAGCACCAUAUAUAGAUUAAUAAAUACAAGUUAAGGUUGAUUGAGGAAAUAGCAGACAGAAUAAUCUGGGAAGUCCUGCGGUGCCCUGCGCCCUAAAAUAGCCUGGAACUUGCACUAAAAUGUUAAAUGACCGGACAUCGGCAUCCCAGCUAGGGGGCCCGUUUUACAACUGGUGCGUGUGCAAAGUUUACGAUAGGCAGGGCUUACGUCUGAGGAUAAGAGACAGAGGUCAGGAGGGUUGCAACUCAGAGACAACUGUAAAUAGGAAGAAAAGAACAAAGGUUAGACUUAAAAAUCUUCCGCUGACUUAAUUGAACAAGCGAGAAAGUAAGCGGAUAUAAACCAAAUUUAGAAGCUAUGACAGAAACGCCGUUUACUGAACAGGUGACUAUGGGAGGCUCGGUCGUGCUAGCGUGACCUUAUUGACAAGUGAAAACCCAGUGUGUCCCCUCUCAUAUGCUGUUACAGCCGCGGGUCGGUCGCCGGUUUCGGCUUUUCAGUUUAUCCACAAAAAUAACAAAGACAUAAGCAAUGCCGUAAAAGCCAGGAAGGGGGGCGCAACUGUUAUUAUUUGUCACGAGAGACUGAGAGACUCUUCAACCAGACGAUUGCAUCUAUAUGAAGGAUGUUUCUCAUGACAGAAAGAGAGCCAAGGAAAGGACUUUGUGGUGGAGACGGCGAAAAGCUGGAAAGGCAAAGAGCAGCUGAAUGGUCCUGUGUCUCCACGUUUACCAAGCGGAUUGGAACAAUAUGAUGAAAAGUCUGUUUCAGUGGGGGACAAAGUGGACACAUCUCAAAGUCAUCAAUGAUGCCGUGUGGCGGAGGUCGGAGUCGGUCGGUGAUCAGUGGCUCGUCGGAAGAUGGUGGGGACACACUUGAGGUAAUUUGGUAAUUGGUAUUAAGCAGGUCACCUGCCCUUGAACAGCAAUAAAGGGUAAAGGCUAGGCAGGGCAUAUAUUUAGGAGUUUUCAGUAUAAGGAGGGUUAAAUUUUACUUAAGAGUCAGAAAUCUCCCUAGUCAGUGGGGUGGGCAGAGGCACUAGAUAGGAUUGUGGGAGAAAUUAUGGCUAGAAAUAUUUUUGCCAUUAUGGGAGUAUGAGGUCAUGCAGUCCUCAGAUAGAAUUCUACUUCAAAAUUUAUAUUAAACGUCAGUAGGGGUUGAAAGAGAGAGGUCAGAAAGGAGCAGCCCUCCUACUUGAUUUCACCUACCAUUGGUUAAUGAGUCUGUUAGUAGUUUGUUAGCAAAAGCCUCCUACGCUGCACAUGUAAAUACCGAUGGACCAAGACCAUCUACUGUAUUUGGGCCCUAGGGGGUAAUAUACAAAGGGGGGCAUUGAUCGAUUAAUUAAUCUGGUCUGACGUGGAAGAGGGUGACUUGAUUUGCGGAUUUGUCAGAUGUGAUAUUGGAAAUUAGGCAAAAAGCAAUGAAGGAUACCUGUAGACUGGUAGAGGGAUCAGGGGGAAAUUAUGCGCAGUGACAUGGGUGUAGCAAGCCGUUUCUUGUACACCCGGGGAGUAAUAAUCAGAAAUCAGUCGGUACCAGAGCUAUUUUUAAAUUGGUCAAUCGAGCAGGAAUAUAGCGGUACUGAGGAGGAAAACCACGUGUAGUGAUUGUAAUAAUUAGUUCAAACCGAUCAACUUUCAAAUACUAGUUACGUGAUGGCAGGGGAGAAGGCGGUUUUUGCCCAAACAGGAACGAGGAAAGAGGGAUAUUAAUUGCGUUAAAAACAAAAGCCUCAGGAGGCUGCCCAAGUUUCAUAGCUCGCGAAUUACAAAUUUAGAUCCGCGGAUUGGGUAAGCACACAAAAUCUUCCAAAGGGGUUGGUUGGGAAUUACGAGUCAACCAAUAUAUAUUCUGUGUUCAAUGCUUAUGGUUUGUGGUCAAUGUUUAUGGUUUGUGUUAAAUGUUUACGUUUUGUGUUAAAUGUUUGUGUUGUGUUGAUUAAAAGCAGAAAUGAAGCACCACUGGGUCAAAUUCACUCAUGUGGAGAAGGCUUUUAUGCACUUUGUGGGGUCAUCUGAGACUACCAUGUUUAUGACGACCAGGACAUUGUGACAGACAAGUGGGUAAGGUCUACACAGACUGUUGACUAAUAGACCUUUGUGACGGUGUACAUAAGGACACGGGGAAGACUCUGCUUUUUGACUCUGAUUUGUAGACAUAACUAUAUUUUUUACAGGACGCCCAGGAGGAUGGAGGGUGACAGUGUUGAUUUAUUGCAGGUUAUGGGAGUGCUGACUUAACGCCGAUUCUUAUGUGAUUCUUGGGCUAUUGACAUUGCCGCUGUUGGGAAACGUGUUAACAAUGAAUUAUCAGUGUUAACAUGUGAUUCGUUAUUUAUGGAAAUAAUAUCAAUGUUUGGUGACCAUUGUCGACUUGGCCCUUCUCUGGAAUAUGAAGGCAGAGAUUCUGGAGUCCUGGCAGGAACAUCUUUUGCAGAGGAACUUUGCUGUAAUGCAUCCCACCCGUACCAUCUACGGCCGGCGGACCGGAGACAGCUGUCGAAGAAGGGUUCCGUGACCCGGAUAAAGUGGACACAUUGAUGCGUAAUGUAUCCGAACGGGAGGUAAGUAGUCCAAUUCUGAGCUUUGAUUCAACAUUAUACUGAUAUUGGAGGUUGCUAGUUUAUGCAGGUUCAUCACAGGAUGUUGGAUGGAGGAGAGCUUAGGAAGACACUGUGCAUGCAUGACUGGUGGGAUACAGAGUAGGACCAAUAUUGGAAUGUCUAAUACAAUACUAUCGAAGGAGUUCACCUGAUAUGGUAGUAAGUACCUUAGCGUGACACUGACGGUAAGUAUGAUAUGAGUGGUAAUGAAUAAUACGAAACAGCUAUUGACACCCCUGUAAAGGUUAUGAUUUAAAAAGUGACAGAUAUAUGGAAGUUGGCAUGAACAAUAAAUAUAGAGUAACUAUGGUAUAAUGAGCUAUUAGAGUCUGGGGGCUAAUAUGGAUUUGAUGACGCAGUCGGGUCCGAACUAGGGUCUCUACGAGGUACGGAACUAAAAGGGGAAUGAUGUGAAAAUUAACGCAGAUUUAAGUUACAGGACGACGGGGGGGUAAGAUAUUGCAAGCCGCUGCGGAUGAUUAGGGGAGCGUGCCAAGAAUCCACCGAAUUGGGUGAGGUAAGUCACGAGGGCAGGGACUAGCCCAUGCCGCAAGUGGGGUGAGAAGUGGGAAAUUAGGAAAGAAGAGGGGUUGGGGCACCUGUUAAAUAAAUGGUAGAAAUUAUCAUAGUUUGGCUUAGUUUGCAUUAAUAUUAUGGACAAUUUUGAUGGAAAGAAUUGCGCAACAAAGAAGUCUGCGGAAGAAUAAACCUAGGGUAAUACUAGUCACUGGCAAGUCAAAGGGACGACGGAGUCCUGUACGUACUUAAAUUCCAUGUUUCAGGUGGUUUGUAAAAACGUUACUAGUAUCGUGUGAAUGUGUAGAAGUAUGAAUGUAUACGACCGGAUUGCAAGUUACAACUGGGUUUGGAAGCAGGUGCAAGAAUCCUCCGCCCCAUGUGGGUAAAAGUUUGAGGAGUACCAAACCCCAGACAUUCAGUGUCACCCUGUCAUUUUGAAUAGUCAGUAUUUAGGUCACUCGAGGUGCAAAUAAACUGACUUCCAAAUUCACAAAAUAAGGAAAAAUAACAGUAAAACGGAUUCAAAAGAACGCUUAACGUGUAAAGACUGGAAAUAUGUUCAACUCCAAACCCCUUACAAAAUGAAACAUUUAAACACAUGGAUAACCAAAUACGAUCUUGCGGGCCAGCUAAAUUCUAAAAAUUGGUUCAACGUCGAGAUGAAAUAAAAGUCGACAUAAAAAUAAUAGAAAAAAGAGGGAUAUGACGACGUAGUUGUCUGGCUAAACAUGGUGUCUAAAAUAGAAAAAGGAAGUAAGAAAAAGAAGGACUUAGAAAAUGGAUGGAAAAGGCCUUCAGUGACAUUAAACAACAUCUGGUGUCCAGUAACGCGCUGGCCCUUCCAAAUUAUGAUAAAACAUUCAUUCAAAUGGUAGAGUAUAAAAGCUAUUACAUGACCUCCGUACUUACGCAACAAUGCGGUGAUAAACUAAGACCAAGAGCUUAUUUUUCGACUAAAUUAGACAGCGUGAUGUGAUAAUGGCCGGCACGGUGGACGACUGGUUAGAGCGUCUGCCUCACAGUUCUGAGGACCGGGGUUCAAUCCCCGGCCCCGCCUGUGUGGAGUUUGCAUGUUCUCCCCGUGCCUGCGUGGGUUUUCUCCGGGCACUCCGGUUUCUUCCCACAGCUCAAAAACAUGCAUUAAUUGGAGAUUCUAAAUUGCCCGUAGGUGUGACUGUGAGUGCGACUGGUUGUUUGUUUGUAUGUGCCCUGCGAUUGGCUGGGAACCAGUUCAGGGUGUACCCCGCUUCCUGCUCGAUGACAGCUGGGAUAGGCUCCACCACGCCCGCGACCCUAGUGAGGAGAACCGGCUCAGAAGAUGAAUGGAUGUAUGGACGUGGUGAUGGAAGUUAGGUCAUUUUCUUGGCUCAGAUUCCUUCAUGCAAGUGUGUUACAAAAUAAAAAUAAUAUCCAGCGGUGGUACGCGUAGGAGUCAUAUCCGCAGGGGUUUGGAGGCAUACAGCGAUGCAAGGGGGGUAUUAUCACUUACGGAUUAAGCAACUGCCACUACCGUGUCUGCCUCAGAUGUGUAGAACUGACUGCCCUCCAUAUGUUGUACUGUUAGAUAUCCAUUUGAAAAUGGGUUGGAUUAAGGUUGAUUUUGUUGCAAAAUACUGGCAGAUGUUUUUGUUCUUCCAGGGGUGGUCUGGAGCUGUUCGGGGUCCCGCGUGUAUAAACCUGGACUCUGGGACAAUUUCAUGGACUGUGAUUAUGGACAGCGGGCCCUGGGCUGCAGGGGUUACAGUUUCUUCAACAAUGACAUGAGCUGUAGACCAUAUGGAGGGAGACCACCUUUAGGAUUUUUAUUUUGUGUGUAUUUUGAUAUGUGUGCUUCCACAGUUCUUUUUUGUGUUUUACACUGUUUUUUGUUCAUUUAUUUCAAUGUUUGUAUUAUUCUGUUGUGUAUGGUUUACCAUCCGAGUCAGGGUCCCUUUGGGUGUUUUGAUGUACGGGGCUCUGAAGGACACUUGAUCUGACUCUCGCUCUUUUCCUCGUCUCAUUUGAGAGAGGUUUUUCGACCGAGAGCCGCGAAACCUUGGCGCUUCCACGAGGCUGCGCGUACAAAUUGAUAAAUUUGGGAUUGGCUCCUUUUUGAUAGCGGGGAGGAGAUUUGGUUUGUUUGGCUGUUUGGUACGCACGUGUGGCCUCAGGGGGCGACAAUGAGACGCAGGGAGUGAUUCAGCCUUAUUAGAAUAAUUGUUUUUCCUAGUAAAUGGUUAACCUUAAAUAAAUGCCUUGGAGCAUGAUAGA
This is a long non-coding RNA of Phyllopteryx taeniolatus (common seadragon), 7437 nucleotides long. RefSeq lists it as uncharacterized. Lineage: Eukaryota; Metazoa; Chordata; Actinopteri; Syngnathiformes; Syngnathidae. The transcript has 2 exons. The record is from RefSeq and is a predicted model, not a curated record.